This 819-nucleotide ribosomal RNA is filed under the name uncultured Actinomycetes bacterium. RNAcentral describes it as "bacterial SSU rRNA". It matches the Rfam family "Bacterial small subunit ribosomal RNA", at positions 335 to 1167 of the family's 1533-position model. The record is from RNAcentral. Lineage: Bacteria; Bacillati; Actinomycetota; Actinomycetes.
ACUCCUACGGGAGGCAGCAGUGGGGAAUAUUGCACAAUGGGCGGAAGCCUGAUGCAGCGACGCCGCGUGAGGGAUGACGGCCUUCGGGUUGUAAACCUCUUUCAGCAGGGACGAAGCAAUCGUGACGGUACCUGCAGAAGAAGCGCCGGCCAACUACGUGCCAGCAGCCGCGGUAAGACGUAGGGCGCGAGCGUUGUCCGGAUUUAUUGGGCGUAAAGAGCUCGUAGGCGGCUUGUCGCGUCGUCCGUGAAAACUUGGGGCUCAACUCCAAGCUUGCGGGCGAUACGGGCAGGCUCGAGUUCGGUAGGGGAGACUGGAAUUCCUGGUGUAGCGGUGAAAUGCGCAGAUAUCAGGAGGAACACCGGUGGCGAAGGCGGGUCUCUGGGCCGAUACUGACGCUGAGGAGCGAAAGCGUGGGGAGCGAACAGGAUUAGAUACCCUGGUAGUCCACGCUGUAAACGUUGGGCGCUAGGUGUGGGGGGCCUCUCCGGUUCUCUGUGCCGCAGCUAACGCAUUAAGCGCCCCGCCUGGGGAGUACGGCCGCAAGGCUAAAACUCAAAGGAAUUGACGGGGGCCCACACAAGCGGCGGAGCAUGCGGAUUAAUUCGAUGCAACGCGAAGAACCUUACCUGGGUUUGACAUCGCCGGAAAUCUCGCAGAGAUGCGGGGUCCUUCGGGGCCGGUGACAGGUGGUGCAUGGCUGUCGUCAGCUCGUGUCGUGAGAUGUUGGGUUAAGUCCCGCAACGAGCGCAACCCUCGUUCGAUGUUGCCAGCGCGUUAUGGCGGGGACUCAUCGAAGACUGCCGGGGUCAACUCGGA